This 398-nucleotide ribosomal RNA is filed under the name uncultured bacterium. Its description in RNAcentral is "bacterial SSU rRNA". It matches the Rfam family "Bacterial small subunit ribosomal RNA", at positions 64 to 507 of the family's 1533-position model. The record is from RNAcentral.
GAACGAUGCUUUCGGGCAUAGUGGCGCACGGGUGCGUAACGCGUGGGAAUCUGCCCUUGGGUUCGGAAUAACCAUUAGAAAUGAUGGCUAAUACCGGAUGAUGACGUAAGUCCAAAGAUUUAUCGCCCGAGGAUGAGCCCGCGUAGGACUAGCUAGUUGGUGGGGUAAAGGCCUACCAAGGUUACGAUCCUUAGCUGGUCUGAGAGGAUGAUCAGCCACACUGGGACUGAGACACGGCCCAGACUCCUACGGGAGGCAGCAGUGGGGAAUAUUGGACAAUGGGCGAAAGCCUGAUCCACCAAUGCCGCGUGAGUGAUGAAGGGCUUAGGGUUGUAAAGCUCUUUUACCCGGGGAUGAUAAUGACAGUACCGGGAGAAUAAGCUCCGGCUAACUCCGUG